RNAcentral lists this ribosomal RNA (465 nucleotides) under Vreelandella stevensii. RNAcentral describes it as "partial 16S ribosomal RNA". It matches the Rfam family "Bacterial small subunit ribosomal RNA", at positions 338 to 795 of the family's 1533-position model. The record is from RNAcentral. Lineage: Bacteria; Pseudomonadati; Pseudomonadota; Gammaproteobacteria; Oceanospirillales; Halomonadaceae.
CCUACGGGGGGCAGCAGUGGGGAAUAUUGGACAAUGGGCGAAAGCCUGAUCCAGCCAUGCCGCGUGUGUGAAGAAGGCCUUCGGGUUGUAAAGCACUUUCAGUGGGGAAGAAAGCCUUGGGGCUAAUACCCUCGAGGAAGGACAUCACCCACAGAAGAAGCACCGGCUAACUCCGUGCCAGCAGCCGCGGUAAUACGGAGGGUGCGAGCGUUAAUCGGAAUUACUGGGCGUAAAGCGCGCGUAGGCGGUCUGAUAAGCCGGUUGUGAAAGCCCCGGGCUCAACCUGGGAACGGCAUCCGGAACUGUCAGGCUAGAGUGCAGGAGAGGAAGGUAGAAGUCCCGGUGUAGCGGUGAAAUGCGUAGAGAUCGGGAGGAAUACCAGUGGCGAAGGCGGCCUUCUGGACUGACACUGACGCUGAGGUGCGAAAGCGUGGGUAGCAAACAGGAUUAGAUACCCCUGUAGUC